Molecule: non-coding RNA, 758 nt
Organism: Diplonema papillatum
Lineage: Eukaryota; Euglenozoa; Diplonemea; Diplonemida; Diplonemidae
Source: the annotation of a GenBank genome assembly
UGUUACACAUUAACGCAGGAGUCCUAAGGCAAGCUCAGCGGGAACAGAAAUCUCGCGUAGAGCAUAAGGGUAAAAGCUUGCUCGAUACACGAUCUUCAGUACCGAUCCUCGGUGUGAAAGCAUGGCCUAACGAUCCUUUGGUCUCGCUUCAUGUUCAAGGGAUGAAGCCGGAGGUGACAGAAAAAUUACCACAGGGAUAACUGGCUUGUGGCAGCCAAGCGUUCAUAGCGACGUUGCUUUUUGAUCCUUCGAUGUCGGCUCUUCCUAACCUAGACAAGCAGAAUUGUCUAAGGGUUGGAUUGUUCACCCACUAACAGGGAACGUGAGCUGGGUUUAGACCGUCGUGAGACAGGUUGGUUUUACCCUACUGAUGGAGAGAGAGCCCAUCGGGCCAGCGCAUUCCGACAGCAAUACGGGGUAGUACGAGAGGAACUCCCGUUUCUAGUCCCUGGUAUCUACGGUUGUUCGAUCGGACAGUGCCGUGAUGCUACCACUGGAUGGAUUAUGGCUGAACGCCUCUAAGCCAGAACCCAGUCUAGAGGAAUGCGUGAGUUACUCAGGGCACAUCGGAUUUAUCGGGCCACGAAUAGCUUCGGCGAACGGCAACUUCCAAAUUCACAUCCAGAUCCCGUGUCUCCAACCGGGUCUAUACGAGUCCGAAUGGACCGGCGGGCGUAACGCACUGAGGAGCCUUGUUGUUCCGAGGGUUUGAGCCUUAUGGCCGGUUCCUACGGUUAUCUCCUGGUUCGGCUCCACUC